This 493-nucleotide ribosomal RNA is filed under the name uncultured bacterium. Its description in RNAcentral is "bacterial SSU rRNA". It matches the Rfam family "Bacterial small subunit ribosomal RNA", at positions 33 to 507 of the family's 1533-position model. The record is from RNAcentral.
ACGCUGGCGGCAUGCCUAAUACAUGCAAGUCGAACGCUGAAGCACUCUGCUUGCAGAGUGCGGAUGAGUGGCGAACGGGUGAGUAACACGUGGGAAAUCUGCCUAGGAGUGGGGGAUAACAUUCGGAAACGGAUGCUAAUACCGCAUAUCUUUUUGAACCGCAUGGUUCUUAAACGAAAGACGGCUUCGGCUGUCGCUCUUAGAUGAUCCCGCGGCGUAUUAGUUAGUUGGUGGGGUAAAGGCCUACCAAGACCAUGAUACGUAGCCGACCUGAGAGGGUGAUCGGCCACACUGGGACUGAGACACGGCCCAGACUCCUACGGGAGGCAGCAGUAGGGAAUCUUCCACAAUGGGUGAAAACCUGAUGGAGCAAUGCCGCGUGAAUGAAGAAGGUCUUCGGAUCGUAAAGUUCUGUUAUUAGAGAAGAACAAGUCAAGGAGUAACUGUCUUGACUUUGACGGUACCUAACCAGAAAGUCACGGCUGACUACGUG